Molecule: ribosomal RNA, 292 nt
Filed under: uncultured bacterium
Lineage: Bacteria
Description: partial 16S ribosomal RNA
Rfam family: Bacterial small subunit ribosomal RNA
Source: RNAcentral
GUGUCAGCCGCCGCGGUAAGACGGAGGGCGCAAGCGUUGUUCGGAAUCACUGGGCGUAAAGCGCGCGCAGGCGGGUGUGCAAGUCGGAAGUGAAAUCCCGGGGCUCAACUCCGGGGCUGCUCCCGAAACUGCUCAUCUGGAGACCGGUAGAGGUGGGUAGAAUUCCCGGUGUAGCGGUGGAAUGCGUAGAGAUCGGGAAGAAUACCUGUGGCGAAGGCGGCCCACUGGGCCGGUUCUGACGCUGAGGCGCGAAAGCGUGGGGAGCAAACAGGAUUAGAAACCCUCGUAGUCC